GUGGGGAAUAUUGGACAAUGGGGGGAACCCUGAUCCAGCCAUGCCGCGUGUGUGAAGAAGGCCUUUUGGUUGUAAAGCACUUUAAGCGAGGAGGAGGCUACCGAGAUUAAUACUCUUGGAUAGUGGACGUUACUCGCAGAAUAAGCACCGGCUAACUCUGUGCCAGCAGCCGCGGUAUUACAGAGGGUGCAAGCGUUAAUCGGAUUUACUGGGCGUAAAGCGCGCGUAGGUGGCCAAUUAAGUCAAAUGUGAAAUCCCCGAGCUUAACUUGGGAAUUGCAUUCGAUACUGGUUGGCUAGAGUAUGGGAGAGGAUGGUAGAAUUCCAGGUGUAGCGGUGAAAUGCGUAGAGAUCUGGAGGAAUACCGAUGGCGAAGGCAGCCAUCUGGCCUAAUACUGACACUGAGGUGCGAAAGCAUGGGGAGCAAACAGGAUUAGAUACCCCUGUAGUCC
This 451-nucleotide ribosomal RNA is filed under the name uncultured bacterium. Its description in RNAcentral is "partial 16S ribosomal RNA". It matches the Rfam family "Bacterial small subunit ribosomal RNA", at positions 354 to 796 of the family's 1533-position model. The record is from RNAcentral.